This 74-nucleotide transfer RNA is filed under the name Spirobacillus cienkowskii. Its description in RNAcentral is "tRNA-Gln". It matches the Rfam family "tRNA". From Rfam's summary of the family: Transfer RNA (tRNA) molecules are approximately 80 nucleotides in length. Their secondary structure includes four short double-helical elements and three loops (D, anti-codon, and T loops). Lineage: Bacteria; Pseudomonadati; Bdellovibrionota; Oligoflexia; Silvanigrellales. The record is from RNAcentral.
UGGGGAAUCGUCUAAUGGCAGGACAACGGUUUCUGACUCCGUAAGUCUAGGUUCGACUCCUAGCUCCCCAGCCA